CGGAGUCAAACGCGUUUAAACCGAACUCUUCCCGUCUCCUUCAAGUUUUUCCCAAAUUGAGUUAAACGUCAACGAAUCUUAAUCGAACUUAACCUACAUGGAUAAAAAAUAUAAACCAUGGAAGUAAAGGAGACUGUCAUUAUGCAUAAUAAACAUUGCUUGGAUCUUGUUCCCUGGACCUUGGAGGACUUUUGGUGUGGAUGAUCAGUAUGCUCUGUACAUUGCAAUGGAAGCACAGUGUGAUUUCACUGAGGUAUGUAUAAAUUAUGAAAUUCUCAUCAC
This is a long non-coding RNA of Oncorhynchus keta (chum salmon), 282 nucleotides long. RefSeq lists it as uncharacterized. The transcript has 3 exons. The record is from RefSeq and is a predicted model, not a curated record. Lineage: Eukaryota; Metazoa; Chordata; Actinopteri; Salmoniformes; Salmonidae.